UUGGACUAUGGUGUAAUGGUAGCACAACAGGUUUUGGUUCUGUUUGUCCAAGUUCGAAUCUUGGUAGUCCAACGAA
Molecule: transfer RNA, 76 nt
Filed under: Bacteroides ovatus SD CMC 3f
Lineage: Bacteria; Pseudomonadati; Bacteroidota; Bacteroidia; Bacteroidales; Bacteroidaceae
Also listed under: 2 other names
Description: tRNA-Gln
Rfam family: tRNA
About the family: Transfer RNA (tRNA) molecules are approximately 80 nucleotides in length.
Source: RNAcentral